AGGAUUCCCCCAGUAACGGCGAGUGAAGUGGGAAAAGCUCAACUUUGAAAUCUGGCUGUUUUACAGUCCGAGUUGUAGUCUCGAGAAGUGUUUUCCGCGUUAAACCGUGUAUGAGUCUGUUGGAACACAGCGUCAUAGAGGGUGAGAACCCCGUUCAUGACACGGCUUUUAAUGCUUUGUGAUACACUUUCGAUGAGUCGAGUUGUUUGGGAAUGCAGCUCAAAUUGGGUGGUAAAUUCCAUCUAAAGCUAAAUAUUGGCGAGAGACCGAUAGCAAACAAGUACCGUGAGGGAAAGAUGAAAAGCACUUUGGAAAGAGAGUUAAAAGUACGUGAAAUUGUCGAAAGGGAAACGCUUGAAGUCAGACGUGCACGGGAUUUAUUCCUAUUGCAGGCCAACAUCGGUUUUACGAGCCGGAUAAAGGUACAAGGAAGGUAGCAGUUUCGGCUGUGUUAUAGCCUCGUACUGAAUACGGAUUGUGAGACCGAGGGACGCAGCGCGCCGCAAGGCAAAGGGUCCGCCCUUUUCGCGCUUAGGAUGUUGGUGAAAUGGCUUUAAUCGACCCGUCUUGAAACACGGACCA
Molecule: ribosomal RNA, 582 nt
Filed under: Erythrobasidium hasegawianum
Lineage: Eukaryota; Fungi; Basidiomycota; Cystobasidiomycetes; Erythrobasidiales; Erythrobasidiaceae
Description: eukaryotic LSU rRNA
Rfam family: Eukaryotic large subunit ribosomal RNA
Source: RNAcentral